This 154-nucleotide small RNA is filed under the name Anaerobium acetethylicum. RNAcentral describes it as "Clostridiales-1 RNA". It matches the Rfam family "Clostridiales-1 RNA". Lineage: Bacteria; Bacillati; Bacillota; Clostridia; Lachnospirales; Lachnospiraceae. The record is from Rfam by way of RNAcentral.
UGAUACCAGGGUCAAAAGGUCAUGUGUUUCAUGCUUGCAUGAAAAAACAUGACUUUGAGACCCGCAAAACAUAAGAAAGCAGCCCGAAAAGGGCGGAUUCCGAAUAUUUUUUGGAUUGUGGGAGCACAAAGUGCGUAACAAUCCGCAGGUAUCA